Molecule: long non-coding RNA, 2150 nt
Filed under: Rattus norvegicus (Norway rat)
Lineage: Eukaryota; Metazoa; Chordata; Mammalia; Rodentia; Muridae
Description: long non-coding RNA NONRATT013827
Source: RNAcentral
GGCCCCCAAAUAUUCUUUGUUUGCUCUGGACCACUUGACGCUACCUGCCAGAAAAGGAUCAAUAAUGUUUGUCUCUUGCUAGAGGAAUAUGCAGCUCUGUAGUUUUAUUUAGACAGACUAUUGGCAGGGAUAUACAUCAGAGGAAACCAAAAGCCAGAUGGAAUAGUUCCUGAAUGAAAUUUUAUUCCUGUUCGCAAUUAUUUCGAAGGGGGAUACCCUCUGGAUCAGAAUUAAAAUGCUCUGGUUUCAAGGAAAUAGCCUGCAGAUUGCCAGAUCCUCCUUUGGACUCUUGAGAAAUCUCUCUGCCUCUAACACGGCUCUGCCUGUGCUGACCUUAUUCACAAAGCACCCAUGCCCCCUAUGUGAUGAAGCUAAAGAAGUGCUCCAGCCUUAUAAAAACAGGGUAAUUUCCACGUUACAGACGGGAUAGAUACCGUUUACUGUAUAAACUGUCUGCCUGGAUCCUUUCCUUAAGAAAAGAUUUAAUGGUUUUCAGUUAGCGUUUGUCUCUAUUCCUCAGAGAGCUUAGUACUAAUUUCCAUGAGCUCAUUACCUGAAUAGUGCCCGACUCCUUUCUCACUGGUUCUUGCUCUGAUUCAGGGUGAACUAUCGGGUAGGCUGUUCAUGCUAACUUUACACUUUGGGCCCGCUGCUUCUAUCUUAUUCUGUAACUCCCAUGACGAGUUUUCCUUUAGCAAACCAUAGUAGCUUGACUAUUCUUACACUAAGACGCUUAUGUCUUGAUUUCUAGGCAGCGUCCCAGCUGGGACACAUCUUGUUUCAUCGGGAACAGAGCAGAGCCCUGCUGCUGAAUGGAGCAGGUGUAACUAUGAAAACCAGAAUGUAGAGUCCAGUGUAAUGAAACCAGUCGGGCUUUGUAAAUUUAAGCCAUUCAAACAGUCGGGCUCAGCAUAUCGCUGCAGCUGUAGCAUUGCUCCAUGAUCCGAGAGGUGGAGUGCUUUAACCUAUCCAUGUUUUAGUUUAUUUUACAGGAGGUGGACAUCACACUUCCCGAAAAUUCUACUUGGUAUGAAAGGUAUAAAUUUGACAUCCCCGUCUUCCAUUUGAAUGGCCAGUUUCUGAUGAAGCACCGAGUAAAUACCUCAAAGCUUGAAACACAGCUUCUGAAACUUGAGCAGCAGGUGCUGGAGACAAACUGAUGUCUUCUGAUUGAUGCAAGUCCUCGGAUGAGGCGUUUCCUUACAGGCAUCCUGUGAACUAAGAAGAACACAUUGUAGAGCGAGGGAAGCUGUAGGAAUGAAGAAGUCUAUUUGUUGAGUCAAUCUUUCCCCUUUGCGACCGUGGAUGCACCUCUCCUGCACGGGACAGUACCCUGAUAGGAAGCAGGCUCUGCAGUCCGGCUGCCAAGCAGCCCUGGAACCCAACGUCAUGGAGCUCCUCUGAGAUGUCCUUUCAACAUUACAAAGCUCUGAGCAGCUUAUGGCCAACUCCGCUCAUCUUCUCAACUUUGAGAAAUUUUCUUCAUAUUUUACAACCAGCCACCUGGUUUGUAAGGUGGUUAACUAAAACUGAGAGAAGCCACAUUUGGGACAGAGGUCAUUCAGCUGAAAUCACUUAUCCUUGUGGAUGUAAGCUUGGAGUUGUAUUCUACUUCACUGAUCUCUUCUGCACAGCAACGUUUAACCUCAUGUCUCCCACGUGGCAGAAAGAAUAUGUGGUCAGCGAGACCUUCACCUCUAUUUCAUGAUGUAACCAGCAGUCCUUGCUGGGGCUCCACUCAGUCAAGAGGAACUCAAAGGAGACAAUUGUUUGAUGUCUGUGGGGUCAGAUGGUGGACUCGUUGUUGGGGGUUUAGAAGUCUCUGCACUGGGGCCAUGCGCUGAGCCACCCCAAAGCCCUUCCCUCCGUCUUUGGGUCUAAGAACAUCUUACCGCAUCGCAUCGCCUGAGUAAGGAACUCAGCCAGAAGGAAACAAUGCUGUUUGACUUCAAAAUCAUGGAUGCUGCACUCAGAUGACACUCGCUAAGCUGCCAAACAUGUCUAUCUAGCAGAUACUGUAAGGACUUUCUGAACACCUCUCUAACAUACGAGGAAGGUAGUCCUGCUGAGGAUGCAAUGCAAUUCUUCCUUUUUUAUUACUAUCGCAAAUAUAUAUAUAUAUAAAUGUAUAAUUUAGAUGAUAAUCAAAA